Long non-coding RNA from Brassica rapa (field mustard), 3143 nucleotides. RefSeq lists it as uncharacterized. Lineage: Eukaryota; Viridiplantae; Streptophyta; Magnoliopsida; Brassicales; Brassicaceae. The record is from RefSeq and is a predicted model, not a curated record.
GAUCUGCAUACAUAUUCUUAGUUUUGAUCCAGAAACAUAAGAACAUGUGGUCUGGAUCUUAGCUUUGUUUUUAUCGAAAAAUAAGUUUGUUUCCUUUCGUCGGUGACACAAAACUGUUUGUUUUUUUCCCGGAAAAAAUAGAAACAGAUACCUAAUGGGGUUUUUGACACAUCAAACAAUUUUUUUGAGCCCAAAUAACGGUAUACAUCAGCCCAAAUCAUAAUCUUAAUUUCAUUUUCAUUAAUGAAAUUGUGAUUAUAAUUUUCUUUAGAAAAAUGAUUUAAGAAAAUAUAUUAGGGCAAUUCUUUCAAAUAGACUUUUUAAGUUUUUGUCACAAAAAUAGACCUCAAAAACUAAAAUGACCAAAAUAGCAUUUUUUAUUUUGAAAAUUUUAAAUUUAAAAAAAAAAUUGAAAUCAUAUCCCCAAAACUCCACUCUUCAACUCUAAACCCUAAACUCUAAAUCCUAAACCUUAAACCCUAAACCCUAAACUCCACCCCUUAACUCUAAACUCUAAUGUCUAGAUUAAUUAACCAUAUGGGUAUAUGUGUAUAUUUAUUUCUUUUGAUAAAACAUUUAAGUCUAUUUUGGUCAUUUUUAUUUUUAUGGUCUAUAUUUGUGACAUAACAAUUUCUAGGUCUAUCCCAAGGAAUUUCUCAAUAUUAUAUUAUAUAUUGUUAAAAAAAAAACAUUUCUUCUUUAUUUAGGUACAAACAUAAAAUUCACAAUAAUUAUAGAUAUAUAUUUUGUUUAUAAAAUCGUUAAAAUUGAUAGCAUAUUAUCAUUUACUAAACAAUUAACAUUUCAAUAUGUACUUUUUUUUAUAAAAAUAGAAGACUUAAAAUGGAAAAGAAAUAAAAAUUUAUAAAAAAAUAAAAAUUAAUAUGGUGAUACAAUUGUAUUACAAAAUGGUUAUUCAUCUUAAAUAUAUGAGAAGUUCAUAUAGAAAACAAAAAACACAUAUAAAAACACUUAACACCCGCACGGGCGUGCGGGUCAAGCUCUAGUCUAUACUAUUAAAAUUUAAAACAGAACCAAAAAACUGAUCCAACUUGAUUUUAGGUAGAAUAUUUUUUUUAGAAAAAAAACUAUAUUCUUUUUUUUUCUGAGCAACCGAAAAACUAUAUACAUAUAUAUUUUUGAGCAACAGAAAUAUACUAUAUUCUAUAUAUUUUAAACUAACAAAUCUCCAUAAAUAUCUCUCUUUUAAGGUGCGGGCCCCAUAGUUGCUGCGAAGUUAUCAUAUAAUGUAAGAGUUUUUAUGUAAUUUAUUUUCACUAUUAAAAUCAACUUCAGUAUAGAUAGGUUUAUAAAAGAUAAGAAGUUUUACAAUAUAAGGUAAAGAUUCUCCUGAUUUCCCUAUAUAACCGAAUCACUCAAAAAUUUAAAAAUAUUUUAAUUUAUCUGAUUUUUAUUCAAAAAAAUUCCAAAAAUGUGAUUUUUAAUCGAAUUAUUCGAAAUUAUCUGAAAACUUGAACCCAAAUAGAGCCGAAUUGAAUUCAAACAUUUAUUGGGUUUCUAACAUUAUUAUCCAUAUCAAACCGAAAACAAAAAUAAUCAAACCGGAACCAAACCCAAAUUCAUAAAUAAUUAAAUUUUUUCUAUAUCUCUUGAGUCAAAAAAAAAAAAACCACAACCGAACCAAAACUGAACAUUAUUGAAAAAUCUGAAGGGUUAAUAAGUUUGUCAAAAAAAUCAUUUAUGUACACCCCUCUAAUAUCAUUUAAAACUCAUAAAAAUCAAAUUUUUACAAGUCUUCAAAUUCUAGAUUCAGUACACCCCUCUAAUAUCAAUAGAAAUAUCUUCAAAUUCAGUAAUUACAUUUUUAAUAACAAUGGAUUUUAUCACAAGUUCAAUAACACUAUAUUUUAAACGAGUUCUUAAUAUUUAUGUUUAAAUAAUAAACAAUUUAUCAUUUUUAUACAAAUAACUUCAAAUUUUAGUUUGAAUAUUUCUCCCCUUAAUGAUUAGAUAAAUUCUUUUUGGUCAAAAGAUAAUCCCAUAGUCAAACUCUACAUUUUAGAUUUACAACUCAACGAAUUGAGAACCCAUAUCAGUGGUCAAAUACGAAUGAAGCAUUUUCAGAGAGCACGGAAAAUAAUAAGAAACUAGGUGGUAACCCGCUCUUUAUGCGGAGUAAUAGGCUAAAAUAAAUUAUAACUUUUAAUUCGUAGAUAUUAAAAAGUAAAAAAAAAAUACAUAUUGACUCAGUAUAUAAAAACUGCCCAUUGUGAAACUUAUAAAAUUAAUAUAAUAUACAUAUCAAUGCAAAACAAACAAUUUGGACAUCCUAAAAUUCCCUAAUUGAUCAUCUAAUUAUUUAAAUAUUUGGAAAGCAUACAGCUUCGGAUAUUUGACCAUAAACAUUUCAAAUCUUUGGUUACUCUCAUAUAUCCAUUUAAAUCAUGCUCAUAAAAACAUACAAUUUCAAAACAAUAUAUGGACAUCACAUUUAUGAAGAUUUCUUAAUAUCAAAACAAUCUGCGGAUAUAGUUAUCAAAAUUAUGGAAAGAAAACAUUUGACUUCACAUAAUCAAAAUAACACUAAACUACUGAAAUAUCAGUGUAUUCCAUUAGAAAAAUAUAGAUUAAUCAAGACAUGAAUGACGUUAUUUCCGAUUCAUUCACAAAUUUAAAAUUCAUCUCUAAUUAUUUUUCUAUUAACAUUUAUGAAGAUUUCAAAAUUAUAAAGUCUUGGUGGUUAAGUUAAGGGAUUGAAUUUACUAUGUCCUUAUUUGUUUUGAAUUUUCUGUACUAUCAGUCAAAGUUUCUUUUACAAUAAAUUUUUACACUGAAAAAUUGUAUAAACGAUAAUUUAGAAAAGAGCAUGUUAAAAAUUACCAACGUAUAAUGUCCUAUUGAACCCAUAAGACUUAAUACUAUGCAGGAUCAAAAUAAUAUAUGCUGAUACGAUUUCUUGCGCAUGCUAAUCAUCUUUAUAUCAUUCCAAAUUUAUUGGACCCAUACAGAAACUACAUUACUUACUUACGCACAUAACACAUAGAUAUAUCAUUGGGAACAUAUAGCAUAAUAUAUAAUUCAAAAAUAAAAAUAUUAUGCUACUUAUAAUAAAUAAUCAAUUAUAUCCAAUAAUACAGCAUACACAUCGAAAAAUAUUCGGGUUAGUUUGUGUUUAAUCAUUG